Molecule: long non-coding RNA, 3038 nt
Organism: Cryptomeria japonica (Japanese cedar)
Lineage: Eukaryota; Viridiplantae; Streptophyta; Pinopsida; Cupressales; Cupressaceae
Exons: 3
Source: RefSeq, a predicted model, not a curated record
CGGGAGCUAGGGCUUUUGUGCCAAAAGAGGACGUGAGUGAUUCAGAUGACGCGGAGGGUGCGGAUGAAGGCGAAGGUUGGUUUAUUGUGCCUGAAGCGGUUGUUGUGGUGGUGGCAGGGGCUAGGGUUGGGAAUGGUCGCGGUGGGAGAGAUCAAUCUCUUUCCCCCCACACGUUGCUUGUGAUUUCUUUCCCUGCCUGCUGGUGUGUGCUCAACGGUGGAUGCCUUGUGGGAGUCGGGGAUCUGUAGAAGCUUGACGGCCUGUGGUUGCGUCCCUUGUUUGGUGGUAAACCUACUCUAUUCGAGGUGUUCUUCUCUUCCUUGUCGGCCCCCUUGGCCUUUUCAGGUGGGAUUUCCAACCGUGUUUUUGGUGGGAGUUGUCUUCAUUAUCCUUCGGUGGUUAUUGGCCCUAGCAGCAUUUUUUUCUUGGGUACCUUCUCUAUCUCACUUUUCAAGGGUUCUUCUUAGCCUGGUCUAUCGAGGUGACCCCAUCUCCUAUUGCGGUGGUGGUGGGUUCGGUUGGUCUUCCUUUGUCUGGGUGUACAGGGUUGGUCCGAGUGUUUUUUCCCUGGAUAGCACGUUCCUUCCCAUUGGUGUUUUGGAUGUUGUUGAUGAUUCAGAGGUUUAUGUUUGUCCUUUGGUUAUCUGGUGUUUGGAUCUGCUAUGGUUGUUAUGGUCCUGGGAGCCAAUCUAAAACCCAACUUGUGUGGUUUGGGGAGCCUAUUAAAAUCCCAUGGGGUGGUGUUUUCUGAGUUUGGAUUUUUUAUGUAUACCCUUGUUUUCUUGUUCCAGAGAAAGGUUAAGGGGUCUAUUUUAAAACCCUAGUUAUUGUUGUUGUUGGGGUCUAUUUUUUGGUGUCCCUAUUUUUGGACUCCUAUGCCUCUCUCUCUUGUUUCAGUCUUAGCGCCUUUGGAUUUCCUUGGUUCAGUCUAUUGAGGUGGCACCUUCUUCUAUUGAGGUGGAGAUGGUUUGUUCCGGAGAUGGCUUUUCUUCUAUAGAGGUGAAGAUGGGUGUUGUGUCUAUUUAGAGGAGUUGUAGGUGGUAUUUGGCGGAUCAACUGUCAGGUUGUGAGAGCCUUGAAAACCCUCUUUCAAGGUUGAGGAGGCCCGAAAGAUCCCUAUUUUUGGUUGUGGGAGCUUGGUUAUUGUUUGUGGGAGUCGUUCAAAAUCCAUCAAAGUUGGGGGAGCCUGGCAAAACCCCAUGUCUUUCGUUUCUGUUGAGGAUGGACUAGAUUGGAGUUUGAAGGUGCUUUCCAAAACCCUCCUUAUGUAUGUCUUGAAGGUUAGGGGAGCCUUUCAAAACCCACACAUAUGCUCUCAGGUUUUUUUCUAUUCUGUGUGUGCUGGUCGUGAGAGCCUUGUUCUUCCCAUAGGUAAGUUGGAUGCUAGAAAUUUUAAAGGGCUCAGUCUGUCUAGUUAUGGUUUUUGGUUAAGGGUUAGUUGUGUUGUUGGCAGGCUAAAUACUUUGUUACAGGUUAAGGGAGCCUGGGAAACCCCUUGUUUGUUGGCUUUGGGAGCCAGUUUAAAACCCAUGAUGAAGGUUAGGGGAGCCUUUCAAAACCCCAUUAGACCAGAUUGUGAGUAUAUGUUGAUCUAUUGUAAUCUGGUGUUGUUGAAGGUGAUGGGUGACUGGAUACAUCUGUAGGUUAAGGGAGCCUUGUAACACCCUUGUUUAUGUGUUAGGGAUGAUUUUAUGUCCAGUUUGUGGUUUGGUUGUUGGUAUGUUGAUGCUCUUUUCUUUUAGCAGUGUCAUACUGUGGGUUCCAGACCUUGGUAAAAUCUGAGGGUUUUGGGUCCCUUCAAAACCUGUGGGGUUUCGGGUCCUCUCAAAACCCAUUGUACGGGGUUUCUGGUCCCCUUAAAACAUGUUUACCCUUAAUCAUAAACAUACAUUUUUUCCAUUUAACUCUUUUUGUCUUUUGCUACAAACGAUUUUGUGCUCACAUAGUUUUGUGCAUUUCAAUUUAAGUAUUUUAGGCCUUUUCAACCUACAAUUUUUUUGUUGAUGCUUUAUGUGAAGCUUUGGUGUUAAUAUGAUUCUGGAACUAUUGUGUACGAUAUAUAAUACUUAUUCCAUGUAUUUGUAUCGUGUAUGCAUUUUUGUGCUGAUGCAUUUCAGAAAUUAUCAACACCAUAGUCGGUAUUAACAAAAAAAAACAAAGGAACUUCUUCUAAAGCGUCUUGCAAAGGACAAAAACUGAAUUUUUUUUUUUAAAAAGUAAGGUUUCCAAUAUUUAGGAUUCAUUCUAUUGUUCUUUAUCAUAUCUCUGACCAUUAUUCUAACCUCGUUGGUGGUUUUUAAUAUUAUAAAUCCUUUCAUCCUUGCUUCCACUGAACAGCUGAAUUUAGCAUUCAAUUUAAUGCUCAAACUUAAUCAAAUUUGGUAUUCAAGUGAUGGAAAUGGGAGCAAUGGAAUUUGACGUUACCCAGCAUCUCCGCACAAGUUCUAGAUGGCUUGACAUAUUUUCAAGAUCUUGUAGAAGAGAGCUCCAUUGUACCAAGUAUUCAAAUUCUUAAAAGGGAUUAUGAAGAUGCAAUCCAUGAUAGCGAAGAGACAUUUCUGGAGUAAAGGUAUAAAAGAAAUCUUUGUAAAAGUAGCAAGAGGUGUAAAUGUGUGGUGUGUAUAUGUGCUGGAAGACAAUCAUUAUAUACACGUAAUGGUCAAGAGGGUUGUCCAUGAAAAUAUUAUAUUAGAGGAAGUGACAGCAAGAGAUUUGGAUCAUGUAUCAUCUAUUCGUGACCGGCUAUCAAGAUAAGUUCUCCAUCCUGAACUAUUCUUAGAAUUGUAAAUCAAAUAUUAUAAUAAAAUGUUUCCAGUUUGAUUAAAUCUUAUUCAUAAAUAUAUUACAUUUCUCACUAUAACCUGGAAUUGUUGUUUCAGGACUGCAUUAUUGUAAAAUCUCAAACUUGGGACAUUACAUUCUCCCAGCACUUUGCAAGUUUUUGAGCAUAUUAUGUACAUGUCGUCUCUUGAUUGUACUCUUGUGAGGAACUUGUCACACAUUUGUUGAUUUUUUAGAUGGCAUAAAAUUAGUGACUU